UACGAAGGGGGCUAGCGUUGCUCGGAAUUACUGGGCGUAAAGGGCGCGCAGGCGGCUCAGACAGUCAGAUGUGAAAGCCCCGGGCUUAACCUGGGAACUGCAUUUGAUACUACUGAGCUUGAGUACGGGAGAGGAUAGUGGAAUUCCCAGUGUAGAGGUGAAAUUCGUAGAUAUUGGGAAGAACACCGGUGGCGAAGGCGGCUACCUGGACCGUAACUGACGCUGAGGCGCGAAAGCGUGGGGAGCAAACAGG
This 253-nucleotide ribosomal RNA is filed under the name uncultured bacterium. RNAcentral describes it as "partial 16S ribosomal RNA". It matches the Rfam family "Bacterial small subunit ribosomal RNA", at positions 524 to 776 of the family's 1533-position model. The record is from RNAcentral.